AGUGAACGCUGGCGGUAGGCCUAACACAUGCAAGUCGAACGGCAGCACAGUAAGAGCUUGCUCUUACGGGUGGCGAGUGGCGGACGGGUGAGGAAUACAUCGGAAUCUACUUUUUCGUGGGGGAUAACGUAGGGAAACUUACGCUAAUACCGCAUACGACCUACGGGUGAAAGCAGGGGAUCUUCGGACCUUGCGCGAUUGAAUGAGCCGAUGUCGGAUUAGCUAGUUGGCGGGGUAAAGGCCCACCAAGGCGAUGAUCCGUAGCUGGUCUGAGAGGAUGAUCAGCCACACUGGAACUGAGACACGGUCCAGACUCCUACGGGAGGCAGCAGUGGGGAAUAUUGGACAAUGGGCGCAAGCCUGAUCCAGCCAUACCGCGUGGGUGAAGAAGGCCUUCGGGUUGUAAAGCCCUUUUGUUGGGAAAGAAAAGCAGCAGGUUAAUACCCCGCUGUUUUGACGGUACCCAAAGAAUAAGCACCGGCUAACUUCGUG
Molecule: ribosomal RNA, 492 nt
Filed under: uncultured bacterium
Lineage: Bacteria
Description: partial 16S ribosomal RNA
Rfam family: Bacterial small subunit ribosomal RNA
Source: RNAcentral